RNAcentral lists this ribosomal RNA (253 nucleotides) under uncultured bacterium. RNAcentral's name for it is "partial 16S ribosomal RNA". It matches the Rfam family "Bacterial small subunit ribosomal RNA", at positions 524 to 776 of the family's 1533-position model. The record is from RNAcentral.
UACGUAGGGUGCAAGCGUUAAUCGGAAUUACUGGGUGUAAAGGGCGUGUAGGCGGGGAUGUAAGUCAGAUGUGAAAUGCCAUGGCUUAACUGUGGAGCUGCAUCUGAAACUAUGUUUCUUGAGUGCUGGAGAGGAAAGCGGAAUUCCUAGUGUAGCGGUGAAAUGCGUAGAUAUUAGGAGGAACACCAGUGGCGAAGGCGGCUUUCUGGACAGUAACUGACGCUGAGGCGCGAAAGCGUGGGGAGCGAACAGG